RNAcentral lists this ribosomal RNA (1441 nucleotides) under Staphylococcus aureus. RNAcentral's name for it is "bacterial SSU rRNA". It matches the Rfam family "Bacterial small subunit ribosomal RNA". Lineage: Bacteria; Bacillati; Bacillota; Bacilli; Caryophanales; Staphylococcaceae. The record is from RNAcentral.
CGGCGUGCCUAAUACAUGCAAGUCGAGCGAACGGACGAGAAGCUUGCUUCUCUGAUGUUAGCGGCGGACGGGUGAGUAACACGUGGAUAACCUACCUAUAAGACUGGGAUAACUUCGGGAAACCGGAGCUAAUACCGGAUAAUAUUUUGAACCGCAUGGUUCAAAAGUGAAAGACGGUCUUGCUGUCACUUAUAGAUGGAUCCGCGCUGCAUUAGCUAGUUGGUAAGGUAACGGCUUACCAAGGCAACGAUGCAUAGCCGACCUGAGAGGGUGAUCGGCCACACUGGAACUGAGACACGGUCCAGACUCCUACGGGAGGCAGCAGUAGGGAAUCUUCCGCAAUGGGCGAAAGCCUGACGGAGCAACGCCGCGUGAGUGAUGAAGGUCUUCGGAUCGUAAAACUCUGUUAUUAGGGAAGAACAUAUGUGUAAGUAACUGUGCACAUCUUGACGGUACCUAAUCAGAAAGCCACGGCUAACUACGUGCCAGCAGCCGCGGUAAUACGUAGGUGGCAAGCGUUAUCCGGAAUUAUUGGGCGUAAAGCGCGCGUAGGCGGUUUUUUAAGUCUGAUGUGAAAGCCCACGGCUCAACCGUGGAGGGUCAUUGGAAACUGGAAAACUUGAGUGCAGAAGAGGAAAGUGGAAUUCCAUGUGUAGCGGUGAAAUGCGCAGAGAUAUGGAGGAACACCAGUGGCGAAGGCGACUUUCUGGUCUGUAACUGACGCUGAUGUGCGAAAGCGUGGGGAUCAAACAGGAUUAGAUACCCUGGUAGUCCACGCCGUAAACGAUGAGUGCUAAGUGUUAGGGGGUUUCCGCCCCUUAGUGCUGCAGCUAACGCAUUAAGCACUCCGCCUGGGGAGUACGACCGCAAGGUUGAAACUCAAAGGAAUUGACGGGGACCCGCACAAGCGGUGGAGCAUGUGGUUUAAUUCGAAGCAACGCGAAGAACCUUACCAAAUCUUGACAUCCUUUGACAACUCUAGAGAUAGAGCUUUCCCCUUCGGGGGACAAAGUGACAGGUGGUGCAUGGUUGUCGUCAGCUCGUGUCGUGAGAUGUUGGGUUAAGUCCCGCAACGAGCGCAACCCUUAAGCUUAGUUGCCAUCAUUAAGUUGGGCACUCUAAGUUGACUGCCGGUGACAAACCGGAGGAAGGUGGGGAUGACGUCAAAUCAUCAUGCCCCUUAUGAUUUGGGCUACACACGUGCUACAAUGGACAAUACAAAGGGCAGCGAAACCGCGAGGUCAAGCAAAUCCCAUAAAGUUGUUCUCAGUUCGGAUUGUAGUCUGCAACUCGACUACAUGAAGCUGGAAUCGCUAGUAAUCGUAGAUCAGCAUGCUACGGUGAAUACGUUCCCGGGUCUUGUACACACCGCCCGUCACACCACGAGAGUUUGUAACACCCGAAGCCGGUGGAGUAACCUUUUAGGAGCUAGCCGUCGAAG